CAGCCGUAAACUAUGCUCGCUAGGUGUCAGGCAUGGCGCGACCGUGUCUGGUGCCGCAGGGAAGCCGUGAAGCGAGCCACCUGGGAAGUACGGCCGCAAGGCUGAAACUUAAAGGAAUUGGCGGGGAGCACAACAACGGGUGGAGCCUGCGGUUUAAUUGGACUCAACGCCGGACAACUCACCGGGGACGACAGCAAUAUGUAGACCAGGCUGAAGACCUUGCCUGAAUCGCUGAGAGGUGGUGCAUGGCGUAGACGUCU
Molecule: ribosomal RNA, 260 nt
Filed under: uncultured archaeon
Lineage: Archaea
Description: partial 16S ribosomal RNA
Rfam family: Archaeal small subunit ribosomal RNA
Source: RNAcentral